UGAGGAAUAUUGGUCAAUGGACGGAAGUCUGAACCAGCCAAGUAGCGUGCAGGAUGACGGCCCUAUGGGUUGUAAACUGCUUUUGUAUGGGGAUAAAGUNAGGGACGUGUCCCUAUUNGCAGGUACCAUACGAAUAAGGACCCGGCUAAUUCCGUGCCAGCAGCCGCGGUAAUACGGAAGGUCCAGGCGUUAUCCGGAUUUAUUGGGUUUAAAGGGAGCGUAGGCUGGAGAUUAAGUGUGUUGUGAAAUGUAGACGCUCAACGUCUGAAUUGCAGCGCAUACUGGUUUCCUUGAGUACGCACAACGUUGGCGGAAUUCGUCGUGUAGCGGUGAAAUGCUUAGAUAUGACGAAGAACUCCGAUUGCGAAGGCAGCUGACGGGAGCGCAACUGACGCUUAAGCUCGAAGGUGCGGGUAUCAAACAGGAUUAGAUACCCUGGUAGUCCGCACAGUAAACGAUGGAUGCCCGCUGUUGGUACCUGGUAUCAGCGGCUAAGCGAAAGCAUUAAGCAUCCCACCUGGGGAGUAUGCNAGGCAACGGUG
Molecule: ribosomal RNA, 542 nt
Filed under: uncultured bacterium
Lineage: Bacteria
Description: bacterial SSU rRNA
Rfam family: Bacterial small subunit ribosomal RNA
Source: RNAcentral